Molecule: transfer RNA, 88 nt
Filed under: bacterium
Lineage: Bacteria
Also listed under: 5 other names
Description: tRNA-Ser
Rfam family: tRNA
About the family: Transfer RNA (tRNA) molecules are approximately 80 nucleotides in length. Their secondary structure includes four short double-helical elements and three loops (D, anti-codon, and T loops).
Source: RNAcentral
GGAGAGAUGGUUGAGUGGUCGAAGGCGCCACAUUGGAAAUGUGGUGUACCGCAAGGUACCGAGGGUUCGAAUCCCUCUCUCUCCGCCA